GGGGAAUUUUCCGCAAUGGGCGAAAGCCUGACGGAGCAAGACCGCGUGGGGGAGGACGGUUUGUGGAUUGUAAACCCCUUUUGAUAGAGAAGAUGAUGACGGUAUCUAUCGAAUCAGCAUCGGCUAACUCCGUGCCAGCAGCCGCGGUAAUACGGGGGAUGCAAGCGUUAUCCGGAAUGAUUGGGCGUAAAGCGUUCGUAGGUGGUUUAUCAAGUCAGUUGUCAAAGCGUGGAGCUUAACUCCAUAAAGGCAGUUGAAACUGAUAGGCUAGGGUGCGAUAGGGGCAAGGGGAAUUCCCCGUGUAGCGGUGAAAUGCGUAGAGAUGGGGAAGAACACCGGAGGCGAAAGCGCCUUGCUGGGUCUGCACUGACACUGAGGGACGAAAGCUAGGGGAGCGAAAGGGAUUAGAUACCCCUGUAGUC
Molecule: ribosomal RNA, 422 nt
Filed under: uncultured Leptolyngbya sp.
Lineage: Bacteria; Bacillati; Cyanobacteriota; Cyanophyceae; Leptolyngbyales; Leptolyngbyaceae
Description: bacterial SSU rRNA
Rfam family: Bacterial small subunit ribosomal RNA
Source: RNAcentral